AAAAAAUAUCAAAUUAGAAGAAAAAAUCAUCACAAUUCAGUACAAAUUACGAUCAAUUUGGUUUUUUUCAUAAAAUGUCUUAUAAAAUAGGCCUUACCCCUCCCCUCCCAUAUUUAAAACCCUGACACCUCUAAAUCAGAAUAUUUUGGAUCGGCCAUCUUUUAAAAAAAAUUAAAAUCACUCACUACUCUAAAAGUUGUCCACUGUAAUCACAAAUAAGCCACCUUAGUGUACAUCACUCCUGAAAGUUGUUUGGUGUUUUUAAAUCACAGUUACUGCCUACUAUCUUAAGUAGAUACCAUUAUACAUAAUAAUAAGCACAAGAGUAGGUCAUAAUAUUUUCAUCUACUGACUAUUAAAAUUCAAGUCAACGAUAAAAUAGUGAACUACAUUUUAUACAAUAAGAAGAAAAAAAGGUUCUCUCUUUAGUCAAUAAUUUUUUAAAAGAAAUAAAUCAAAUCGUAACACUUUACAUACAGGUCAAUAAUCGGCGGUUUCAAAAUAUCUAAUGCAUUUUGGAAAUAUUUCAAAAGCAUACACCAAAAUGUUGUGAUUGGUUAAAA
RNAcentral lists this long non-coding RNA (563 nucleotides) under Mytilus galloprovincialis (Mediterranean mussel). The record is from RNAcentral. Lineage: Eukaryota; Metazoa; Mollusca; Bivalvia; Mytilida; Mytilidae.